UCUUGGAGAUGAUUUAGGGGGAUAUGAUAGAGGUCUAUAAAAUCAUGAACGGUGAGAAGAAAGUGAAUAGGGAAGUGUUAUGUACCCCUUCACAUAAAACAGGAACUAGGGGGUCACUUGAUGAAAUGAAUAGGCAGCAAGUUUUUUAAAAAGCACAAUGAAGUACUUCUUCAUACAAC
Chelonoidis abingdonii (Abingdon island giant tortoise) is the source of this 179-nucleotide non-coding RNA. NCBI's taxonomy places the organism in Eukaryota, Metazoa, Chordata, Testudines, Testudinidae. The record is from RefSeq and is a predicted model, not a curated record.